This 333-nucleotide ribosomal RNA is filed under the name uncultured bacterium. RNAcentral describes it as "bacterial SSU rRNA". It matches the Rfam family "Bacterial small subunit ribosomal RNA", at positions 568 to 899 of the family's 1533-position model. The record is from RNAcentral.
AACGCAGGUGGUUUGGUAAGUCAGGGGUGAAAGUCCGCAGCUUAACUGUGGCACUGCCUCUGAUACUGCCUUUCUUGAGUAGAGUAGGGGGAAGUGGAAUUCCGAGUGUAGAGGUGAAAUUCGUAGAUAUUCGGAGGAACACCGGUGGCGAAGGCGGCUUCCUGGACUCUAACUGACACUCAUGUUCGAAAGCGUGGGUAGCAAACAGGAUUAGAUACCCUGGUAGUCCACGCCCUAAACGAUGGGCACUAGGUGUGGGAGGUAUCGACCCCUUCCGUGCCGCAGCUAACGCAUUAAGUGCCCCGCCUGGGGAGUACGGCCGCAAGGUUGAAA